This is a long non-coding RNA of Bombina bombina (fire-bellied toad), 480 nucleotides long. RefSeq lists it as uncharacterized. The transcript has 4 exons. NCBI's taxonomy places the organism in Eukaryota, Metazoa, Chordata, Amphibia, Anura, Bombinatoridae. The record is from RefSeq and is a predicted model, not a curated record.
CCAUCCUGAACCAUUACAGUUUGAGCCACACCGGAGGCCGUCUGCUGGGUGACCGUUAGAUUCCAGCCUGCUCCAUUUGCACCAAGAGGGGUGCAUCAUCAAAUACACGGCCAGAGCACUGAGAGAUAUCAGGUAUUGAUGUAACUGGAGUGAAUAAGGGAACCUUCUUCCUGAGCACAGACAUUGGAGCCUGUUAUCAGCAUGAACUCAUAUGUGUUAGACACGGCCAGAGCACUGAGAGAGGUAUUGAUGUAACUGGAGUGAAUAAGGGAACCUUCUUCCUGAGCACAGACAUUGGAGCCUCUUAUCAGCAUGAACUCAUAUGUGUUAGACCAACACAUGAAUAGUUCAUAUCCAUCCCUCACUACAGGAAGCAUCAGAAUGAUACCACAGACUCCAACAUUUUUAGACACUAAUGAAUAUUCACAAACAUUGGGGAAAUCACAUGAGAUAUUUAAAGGAGAUGGUGAAUUGGCAGGA